Heterocephalus glaber (naked mole-rat) is the source of this 1564-nucleotide long non-coding RNA. Lineage: Eukaryota; Metazoa; Chordata; Mammalia; Rodentia; Bathyergidae. The record is from Ensembl.
CUGGGUGGCAGUGACAUGAGUAAUCAGGUGUUGCUAACCUGGCUGCCCUUUUGCUCUGCUCAUGAAUGCUUUCUGCUGCACUGGAAGCUCUUCGUUUGUUGAUCUCUCACUGCUGGGUCUUCUUUUUCCUCAACCCAACUGCUUUAUUUUUACUCAUGACAUGGAAAAGUUCCUCCUGUAUCUUUCUUGCAGCUCACCUUUUGGAAACAGAUUGACAUGGAUUGGUGGCCUUUGCUUCCUGUUCCUGAAGAGUGACUUAUGCUUGUGCUAAGAAUGAGGUGCCAAGGACAGCAACCGAAUGGCUUCAGAAUCAGGCUCCCACUCUUUUGGCCAUGGCAACAGGAGAGAAGGAUUCACAGGAACGAUCUGAACCUCAGAUAGCCUUUGGAGGAGAAAACAACAAGGCCAGCUUCAUCGGUGAAAAAAAUCCAUGUAAGUGGGAUAUGUGAUCCAAGAUAUUUGAAGUAUCUUGCGCAUCUGAAGAAAGAUCUGUGAGAUGGGGAAGAGCAGCCUCAGAGAAACUGUACUGACUGGAUCUCCCUGGAACAAAGACCUUUCUGUACACAAUAGGAAACACUGAGCCAAGGCAAGAGAAAAAGCUCCCAUCUGCUAAUAAUCCAAUUAAAGAGACCAAAAGCCAAGUAGAACAUGCAGACUGAUGGAUGUUCAGAAACGUCCUUUGCAGAAGCUCACCAUGGAGCUGGGGGAAGUAGAGAAUGAAAGUUGCUCUGAAGCUCUCAGAAUACACAUCCCAAAGGAAAUCACUUUCCCCUAUGGCCUACUUCAAAGCUUCGACUCAUUUUUGCCACCCCUCAGCUGUUCCUUUCCACAUCGUUGGUCCCUCUCAUACAUAUCCCUUUCAACUUCUCCAUAUCCUGGUCCCAGAUGGUUGGUGCACCAGCACUUUUCCAACAGCACCCUCCUCCCAUUAAUUCUUGCUCUCUAGAAGGUAAUCUGUGAUAUUAGCAUUCUCAAAAUCAUGAGACGGCUAUCGUGAGCAGUAACUCCACCUAGCAGUGGGAUCAGUAUCAAAAGAUAUCUAGGAAAAAAUUUUAUUCCACAUGAUGGAAACAGUGUUAAAAGCCUCUGUAUGGUUGUGGGGCAAGUUAAGAACUUAAUCUUGGACCCCACAGAGUCUUAGACACCAUCUUGUGCUAUAGUCACAUAGCUUAUUGAUAGCAAAGAUAACAAUCUCUUUCCAGUUCCUUGCUCAUUAUUUUAUACCAUCGCAAGUUAUGUCUAAUAAACACAGAAAGGAGGCUUUCUCCAUAUGGCAGCUCUGUGGGAGACCACAAAUUAUCCCUGAGCACUUUAAGCCUUAUCUAAGUUGGAAUACUGUCUCUGUUAUCUACUGAAGUCAUACUGAAAAUGACAGGUUGUUUGGGUUCUUAAUGGUUGUUAAGCAGAGGAGCAUGUAGCAUUGUAACGCAUUUCACUUUCUACUUGGGGCAUGAACUUCUAUAGAAAUUCAGAAAAGUGAUUAUAGGAUUUUUAAUAUUUGAUAUACAAUAAAUGUAACAUUAUUAAUAAACUUACAAUUUAAUAAGUUUUGAUGUGUCUAUAC